This 253-nucleotide ribosomal RNA is filed under the name uncultured bacterium. Its description in RNAcentral is "partial 16S ribosomal RNA". It matches the Rfam family "Bacterial small subunit ribosomal RNA", at positions 524 to 776 of the family's 1533-position model. The record is from RNAcentral.
UACGGGGGGGGCAAGCGUUGUUCGGAAUUACUGGGCGUAAAGGGCUCGUAGGCGGCCAACUAAGUCAGACGUGAAAUCCCUCAGCUUAACUGGGGAACUGCGUCUGAUACUGGAUGGCUUGGAUUCGGGAGAGGAAUGCGGAAUUCCAGGUGUAGCGGUGAAAUGCGUAGAUAUCUGGAGGAACACCGGUGGCGAAGGCGGCAUUCUGGACCGAUAUUGACGCUGAGGCGCGAAAGCUAGGGGAGCAAACGGG